This 749-nucleotide ribosomal RNA is filed under the name uncultured Alteracholeplasma sp. RNAcentral's name for it is "bacterial SSU rRNA". It matches the Rfam family "Bacterial small subunit ribosomal RNA", at positions 28 to 776 of the family's 1533-position model. The record is from RNAcentral. Lineage: Bacteria; Bacillati; Mycoplasmatota; Mollicutes; Acholeplasmatales; Acholeplasmataceae.
GAUUAACGCUGGCGGUACGUCUAAUACAUGCAAGUCGAACGGAGCACUUGUGCUCAGUGGCGAACGGGUGAGUAACACGUAGGUAACCUGCCCUUAAGACGAGGAUAACUCUUGGAAACGAGAGCUAAUACUGGAUUGGAAGCGGACUCGGCAUCGAGACCGUUUAAAAGAUGCGAUUAGCAUCGCUUAAGGAGGGGCCUGCGGCGCAUUAGUUAGUUGGUGAGGUAACGGCCCACCAAGACAAUGAUGCGUAGCUGGACUGAGAGGUUGAACAGCCACACUGGGACUGAGAACGGCCCAGACUCCUACGGGAGGCAGCAGUAGAGAAUCUUCGGCAAUGGGGGGAACCCUGACCGAGCGAUACCGCGUGAUCGAAGAAAUACUUCGGUAUGUAAAGAUCUUUUACAAAGGAUGAAUGGUUCUGAUAGGAAAUGAUCAGAAAGUGACAGUACUUUAGGAAUAAGCCCCGGCUAACUAUGUGCCAGCAGCCGCGGUAAUACAUAGGGGGCAAGCGUUAUCCGGAAUUAUUGGGCGUAAAGGGUGCGUAGGCGGCUAUUUAAGUUCAUGGUCUAAAUUCAAGGCUCAACCUUGAAUCGCUUUGAAAACUGGAUAGCUUGAGAGAGGUAGAGGCAAGUGGAAUUCCAUGUGUAGCGGUAAAAUGCGUAAAUAUAUGGAGGAACACCAGUGGCGAAGGCGGCUUGCUGGGCCUUAUCUGACGCUGAUGCACGAAAGCGUGGGGAGCAAACAGG